Long non-coding RNA from Pipra filicauda (Wire-tailed manakin), 1983 nucleotides. RefSeq lists it as uncharacterized. NCBI's taxonomy places the organism in Eukaryota, Metazoa, Chordata, Aves, Passeriformes, Pipridae. The record is from RefSeq and is a predicted model, not a curated record. The transcript is spliced from 3 exons.
GCGGGGCGGAGGCGCUUGGCCCCGCCGGGCCGCCGUCGGGGGCGGGCCCGCGCCGCAGUCAUGGCGGCGCCCGUGGUGCCGGAGAGCGACAGCAUCCGCAGGGCCGUGUCGCUGCUCAACGCCGUGGACUCCGGCCGAUUCCCGCGGCUGCUCUCCCGCCUUCUCCAGAAGCUGCACCUGAAGAACUAUUUCAGGUGGAUUAAGUAAGAGCCGGUAACUACUGGCAGAAGGUGAAUGGCGUGAGGGCGAGUGAUGCUCGUAAAUAACCCGAGGCCUCCUGGCGCCAGUGCCUCAGGGCGCUGUCAGGACACGCGAAUUCCUUGGCCUUUGGCACAAACCACGCUCCUGCCCUCGCGAGUGUUGUCCACAAAAAUCGGAUUCGUUACCUUGUAUGCAGCAAGCCAACAAUUGCACACUCGAGAGAGACACUGAUUGUUUAUUUCAGAGUUGUGCAAGGCUGGGUGCCUGGUGGAAUUUCACAAAUCAAACACACCAACUAUCAAAACUUUUUUACUAUUUAUACAUUUUAGCAAACAAAGGAAUUAGUGUUCCGUUGCCGCAAGUUACAUAGUAGUCUUAUUACUUCGUAUCCUGUCUUCUAUUGGUUAGUGAUUCCAUCGCUUCUCAUGCUAAUUAGUCCACAUGCUCAGUCUCUUGCUUUUGGAUCGGUGGGUUACUUGGGUCUGUGGCUGUGGGUCUGUGGUCGUGCUCUCCUGUUGCCAGAAUUACCUUUUACCCGGUCGGAGUGGAUUCCGCACGGUUGCUGAGUUGGCUUUGUUAGUUUCUUCCUUAUCUUUGGAGUUCUGCCAAAUGUCUUUGUGGACCCUAAAUUCUGCAUUUUUUGUAUCCACUAUCAGUGAUACAUCCUUCUUCCCAAGCUUUGUUAACCUCCCCCUAGGUCUGAGAUCCCUGAAGCAUGCGAACCCUAAACCUUAAAAACGCAAUUCUACUGCAAGUAAUUUGUUUUUCUAACACCUGGACAUCACUUAGAGCUUGUUAGCUGCUCUCUGUUUUGUGGAUUAAAUCUCCUUUCUUGAUGUUUAGGCUUCAAAAUAUACAAAGAUCAAACAUCAGAGAACAUCCUUUGUAAGGAAAAUUUUAUGUAUACCACAUUGUACAUCAUGAGCGAAACACUAAAUGCAUAUUUUUGUUUAUUUUUCUGCAUUUCUGUAUAUCCGUCAACCAAAACCACCUGUGAAACUGAGGUUAAAAAUAAAGCCCAGAACUUUUAGUGAAUAUUUUUGUCACCUUUACAGAAGAUAUUUGUAAUUGCAGAAUAAAUAAAAAAAUAAUAAAAUAAAUCAGUAGUAAGUUUCAUUGUACAGUGCCAAAAUGUCAAAUGAAGACUAGGUCUAAACUUUGCACUAAAUAUUGCAGCAGAAACUGUAAGAUAAAUCUUACACCAGAAAUAUAUUUUGUCAUUUUUGUUGUCUUUCAGUGUUAGAUUUUGUUUAUUCCCUUGUUUUGUGUCCAGAAAAAGUAGAAUAAGAAAUACAGAAUUUGUUUUCUGUACACAUGCUACAAACUAAAUGUUAAAAUAUUACAGGUUAGGAGCAACAUGGAAAAAAAUGUGAAUGUAUUAAAGGUUAUAAUUCUGAGGCUAUAAGGAUUCAUUUGAUUCAAUUGCUGAGUUUUUUUUCCUAUCAAAAUUACUAGCUUGGAUGUUGCUGUUAUUGCAGAGUUUUGUCGGUUGUUUUGCAUGGAUACUAACUCAUCGUUAAAUCCGAACUGUCACUAACUUCUUUUUUUUGUUUGGUUUGUUUGUUCUUUUUUACUACUCCAUAGCAUUUUAGUAGCUCUUCACAGUUUUAAUCAAUAUUUACAUGAGGGACGUGGUCUUUGUAAUUUAACCAACUCAAUCUCCUGAGUAGUUUGGCUGACCUUUCUAAAGUAUUGAAGUAUUUAGAGCUGGUUAAAUUGCUGGAAACUUUAAAUGAACUCACUUUCCUUAACAAAGCAGACACUCUGUGUUUCCCUCCAACA